Molecule: ribosomal RNA, 486 nt
Filed under: uncultured bacterium
Lineage: Bacteria
Description: partial 16S ribosomal RNA
Rfam family: Bacterial small subunit ribosomal RNA
Source: RNAcentral
AUUGAACGCUGGCGGCAUGCCUUACACAUGCAAGUCGAACGGCAGCACGGGUGCUUGCACCUGGUGGCGAGUGGCGAACGGGUGAGUAAUACAUCGGAACAUGUCCUGUAGUGGGGGAUAGCCCGGCGAAAGCCGGAUUAAUACCGCAUACGAUCUACGGAUGAAAGCGGGGGACCUUCGGGCCUCGCGCUAUAGGGUUGGCCGAUGGCUGAUUAGCUGGUUGGUGGGGUAAAGGCCUACCAAGGCGACGAUCAGUAGCUGGUCUGAGAGGACGACCAGCCACACUGGGACUGAGACACGGCACAGACUCCUACGGGAGGCAGCAGUGGGGAAUUUUGGACAAUGGGCGAAAGCCUGAUCCAGCAAUGCCGCGUGUGUGAAGAAGGCCUUCGGGUUGUAAAGCACUUUUGUCCGGAAAGAAAUCCUUGGCCCUAAUACGGUCGGGGGAUGACGGUACCGGAAGAAUAAGCACCGGCUAACUACGUG